UCACAGAAUACCAAAUGGGGAGAUUGUUAGGAUUUAUGUUAUAUUGGCAAUUUUGUAGACAAAAUACAAUCGUAGUUAAAUUGCAUUAGGAGUUUAUUGAGUUGUGAUCAAAGUCAAUCAAAGUCAAAAUAGGAGUUAUUGAAUCCUAAUUAAAGUCAAAAGAGUUGAGAUUAGUAGUAUAGUCCUUAAAGGAGUCCAAGAUGUCAAAGAAGAUCACGUGUGAUCAAGGAAAUACAAUUAGAAGUCUAAAGAGUUUUAAGGAGCAACAAAAGUUAUGUUUUAAAUUUUCAUUCAUAAUUGGUAACACGUUUUUCACAUAGGAAACAUUAGAAUUUGAACAAGGCUAUUUAAAAGAAUUGUAACUCUUUGAGUUAGCUUUUCAUCGUAUUUUGAAUUGACUCAAACAGACAUUGGAAGAGAAAGUUAUUAUAAAAAUACUGACAACUGCUCAGCAGUUGCUCACCUGUCACUUGUCUAGAGUUCGAGCAACGAUGUUACACAUUUUUCAAGAGUUUUAUCUAGCCCAUACUACCUAAUUAUCUCUUACUAUAAAUAUCCAAGCCCUUAUAUAUUUUGUGUGUGGUUGUUCAUAUAUUACUUUUUCAUAAUAUCAUUCCAAGAUCCAAGAAUAAGAUUACUGAAGAUUGAGGGAGGUCAGACCAAAAGAACGGAAGAGUACAAAAUAAGGUGUUCUUGAUGAGUCAUAGGAGAUAGACAACUUCAGAAAAUCAUGAACAAAUAUGAAUGAAUUACAAUAUCAAAAGAUCGGGAGAUUAUUAGCUUGGUCUUGAAGUUUUUACUCAGUUAGGUUUUCUCUGUCAACAUAUUUUGUGUUGUUUACCGCUUUGAUACAAUUGAUUGUGGCAUUCAAACUAUUGGAUAAUCUGAUGUGAUUAAUUAACUAUCUAGAAACAAUUAAAGAAUGACUUGUUUCUUUUAAUUGUAUAAUUCCUCACAUUCGGUCAAAAUAAAUUAGCUAAAUCUAAACUUUCAAGUAGUAUAAGAGCUUUUCAC
This 1014-nucleotide long non-coding RNA is filed under the name Olea europaea (common olive). RNAcentral describes it as "long non-coding RNA (OEUR_LNC012008)". The record is from RNAcentral. Lineage: Eukaryota; Viridiplantae; Streptophyta; Magnoliopsida; Lamiales; Oleaceae.